AAUUACUGAAUUGGUUGUGUAUUAUUUAACCAAAUGGCUUUGUCAGGCGUCGGGGUGCGGCAGUGAAUAGUGGUCUCAGUCGGCAUGAUAGAUGUUUAGGGAUAGUUUAAUAUAUUAUAUUUAAAAAAUGCACGUAUCUCGCAAAAUAGGUAAGCCACUGUUUUAGGUGAAAAGUUGAGAGGGUGUGAUAUUAAGUGGAAUAUAAUUUAUAUCUGUGUGUAACGAUAAAUCGUUUCUAACAAAAAAUUAUUUGGCGCGAAGCUUUGUUAUACGCGUUUUAAAAUGCCGUAAUAUUUACGAUUUUCGUCAAAUUUUUUUAUUAAAAUUCUUACUACACAUGUAUACAUAAAUACUAAAUUAA
Cinara cedri is the source of this 361-nucleotide non-coding RNA. Lineage: Eukaryota; Metazoa; Arthropoda; Insecta; Hemiptera; Aphididae. The record is from the annotation of a GenBank genome assembly.